CUUUCUUAUAACGUUACAGCUAAAGGUUUUACUUAACCAAUUCCCUUCAAACGCUCUUCCUCUCUAUCCUGCACAGUGGUGUGCUUUCAGCAGACUGCUAAGAACAACUUCAAGUCAGACUUUCUCCUUUUGGUCCCUCCUCCCGUUUUGAAAUUUUGUUUUUCGUUUCUAUAUAUAUCAAAAUGUUUAAAACUCAAAAAAAAAAUAAUCCCCCCCCCCCCCAAGGCUCCGCUAGAAAAGAAAAGGAAAAAGGAAACAAAAACCCUACGGGACCGUCCCCAGGAGCGCCGAGACCGCCAGUUAAUAAGCCCAGCCAGGUGAUCGGGGGGAGAGGCAGUUCGUAGCUCCCUGACCCCAAGGAGAACUUGACAACACCAGGGUGACUUUACAUAAAGGAGCUCGGAGGAAAAGGCUAAUGGAGUCCAAUCGAGAGCCGUCAGUUGCAUGCACGCAGACCUCGGUGGCAUUCGCUGUUGGAAUUGCUUCUUCAACAGUGACCUUGGGUGGGAGAGAGCCUGUCUGGAGCCGGACCCCCCGUAGCGGCCUCUUACCUCGACCCCCUGGCCUCCCACGGCGUCUCCAGUGGACCGUGUACUCCUAAAGACGUCCCCCACCGGCCAGCUGAGCCGCGCAUCUCCAGAGCCGCUCCCGCCCCUCGCCUCCCUCGCUACAGUCCCAGCGCUUUUUAAAACUUUGAGCGCAGCUUUUACGUGACUGGAGAGUCAUAAAUGCUCCUGCCCUUGUUCAGCCAACAUAGACACCCUUGCGUCCCCUUCACAUUUCAUGAAUUACGAGAAUAUA
Long non-coding RNA from Prionailurus viverrinus (fishing cat), 801 nucleotides. RefSeq lists it as uncharacterized. The record is from RefSeq and is a predicted model, not a curated record. The transcript has 3 exons. NCBI's taxonomy places the organism in Eukaryota, Metazoa, Chordata, Mammalia, Carnivora, Felidae.